This 440-nucleotide ribosomal RNA is filed under the name uncultured bacterium. Its description in RNAcentral is "partial 16S ribosomal RNA". It matches the Rfam family "Bacterial small subunit ribosomal RNA", at positions 338 to 795 of the family's 1533-position model. The record is from RNAcentral.
CCUACGGGUGGCAGCAGUGGGGAAUAUUGCACAAUGGGGGAAACCCUGAUGCAGCGACGCCGCGUGAGUGAGGAAGUAUUUCGGUAUGUAAAGCUCUAUCAGCAGGGAAGAAAAUGACGGUACCUGACUAAGAAGCAGCGGCUAACUACGUGCCAGCAGCCGUGGGAAUAAGUAGGGGGCCAGCGUUAUCCGGAUUUACUGGGUGUAAAGGGAGCGUAGGCGGGUAAUUAAGUCAGAAGUGAAAACCCCGGGCUUAAACUUGGGACUGCCUUUGAAACUGGGUAGCUUGAGUGAAGGAGAGGUAAGCGGAAUUCCCAGUGUAGCGGUGAAAUGCGUAGAUAUUGGGAAGAACUCCAGUGGCGAAGGCAGCUUACUGGACGGGAACUGACGUUGAGGCUCGAAAGCGUGGGGAGCGAACAGGAUUAGAUACCCUAGUAGUC